AACGAACGCUGGCGGCAUGCCUAACACAUGCAAGUCGAACGAGACCUUCGGGUCUAGUGGCGCAAGGGUGCGUAACGCGGGGGAACCUGCCCGUAGGUUCGGAAUAACUCCCCGAAAGGGGUGCUAAUACCGGAUAAUGUCAUCGGUCCAAAGAUUUAUCGCCUUUGGAUGGGCCGGCGUUGGAUUCGCUGGUUGGUAGGGUAAAAGCCUACCAGGGCGACGAUCCAUAGCUGGUCAGGGAGGAUGAGCAGCCACGCUUGGACUGACACACGGGACGGACUCCUGCGGGAGGCGUGGGUGGGGAAUAUUGGAGAGUGGGAGAAAGCCGGAUCAACCCCGCGCGCGUGAGGACUGCCGGCGUUAGGGUUAUCAAGCUCGUUUACCCGGAAUGGUAAUGACGGUACCGGGAGAAUAAGCCCCGGCUAACCCCGUG
RNAcentral lists this ribosomal RNA (433 nucleotides) under uncultured bacterium. RNAcentral's name for it is "partial 16S ribosomal RNA". It matches the Rfam family "Bacterial small subunit ribosomal RNA", at positions 29 to 507 of the family's 1533-position model. The record is from RNAcentral.